AAAUUGAAGAGUUUGAUCAUGGCUCAGAUUGAACGCUGGCGGCAGGCCUAACACAUGCAAGUCGAACGGUAACAGGAAGCAGCUUGCUGCUUCGCUGACGAGUGGCGGACGGGUGAGUAAUGUCUGGGAAACUGCCUGAUGGAGGGGGAUAACUACUGGAAACGGUGGCUAAUACCGCAUAACGUCGCAAGACCAAAGAGGGGGACCUUCGGGCCUCUUGCCAUCAGAUGUGCCCAGAUGGGAUUAGCUGGUUGGUGAGGUAACGGCUCACCAAGGCGACGAUCCCUAGCUGGUCUGAGAGGAUGACCAGCCACACUGGAACUGAGACACGGUCCAGACUCCUACGGGAGGCAGCAGUGGGGAAUAUUGCACAAUGGGCGCAAGCCUGAUGCAGCCAUGCCGCGUGUAUGAAGAAGGCCUUCGGGUUGUAAAGUACUUUCAGCGGGGAGGAAGGUGUUGCGGUUAAUAACCGCAGCAAUUGACGUUACCCGCAGAAGAAGCACCGGCUAACUCCGUGCCAGCAGCCGCGGUAAUACGGAGGGUGCAAGCGUUAAUCGGAAUUACUGGGCGUAAAGCGCACGCAGGCGGUCUGUCAAGUCGGAUGUGAAAUCCCCGGGCUCAACCUGGGAACUGCAUUCGAAACUGGCAGGCUUGAGUCUUGUAGAGGGGGGUAGAAUUCCAGGUGUAGCGGUGAAAUGCGUAGAGAUCUGGAGGAAUACCGGUGGCGAAGGCGGCCCCCUGGACAAAGACUGACGCUCAGGUGCGAAAGCGUGGGGAGCAAACAGGAUUAGAUACCCUGGUAGUCCACGCCGUAAACGAUGUCUACUUGGAGGUUGUGCCCUUGAGGCGUGGCUUCCGGAGCUAACGCGUUAAGUAGACCGCCUGGGGAGUACGGCCGCAAGGUUAAAACUCAAAUGAAUUGACGGGGGCCCGCACAAGCGGUGGAGCAUGUGGUUUAAUUCGAUGCAACGCGAAGAACC
Molecule: ribosomal RNA, 980 nt
Filed under: Salmonella enterica subsp. enterica serovar Senftenberg
Lineage: Bacteria; Pseudomonadati; Pseudomonadota; Gammaproteobacteria; Enterobacterales; Enterobacteriaceae
Also listed under: 1 other name
Description: bacterial SSU rRNA
Rfam family: Bacterial small subunit ribosomal RNA
Source: RNAcentral